UACGUAGGGGGCAAGCGUUGUCCGGAAUCAUUGGGCGUAAAGCGCGUGUAGGCGGCCAGGUAGGUCCGCUGUGAAAGUCCGAGGCUCAACCUCGGAAUGUCGGCGGAAACCCCCUGGCUAGAGUCCGGAAGAGGAGAGUGGAAUUCCCGGUGUAGCGGUGAAAUGCGCAGAUAUCGGGAAGAACACCCGUGGCGAAGGCGGCUCUCUGGAACGGUACUGACGCUGAGACGCGAAAGCGUGGGGAGCGAACAGG
RNAcentral lists this ribosomal RNA (253 nucleotides) under uncultured bacterium. RNAcentral's name for it is "partial 16S ribosomal RNA". It matches the Rfam family "Bacterial small subunit ribosomal RNA", at positions 524 to 776 of the family's 1533-position model. The record is from RNAcentral.